RNAcentral lists this ribosomal RNA (432 nucleotides) under uncultured crenarchaeote. RNAcentral's name for it is "bacterial SSU rRNA". It matches the Rfam family "Archaeal small subunit ribosomal RNA", at positions 274 to 708 of the family's 1478-position model. Lineage: Archaea; Thermoproteati; Thermoproteota. The record is from RNAcentral.
CCGUGAGAGCGGUAGCCCGGAGAUGGGUACUGAGACAAGGACCCAGGCCCUACGGGGCGCAGCAGUCGCGAAAACUCCGCAAUGCACGAAAGUGUGACGGGGCUACCCCGAGUGCCAUCCGCUGAGGAUGGCUUUUCUUUGGUAUAACUAGCCAGGGGAAUAAGGAGAGGGCAAGACUGGUGUCAGCCGCCGCGGUAAUACCAGCUCUCCGAGUGGUAGGGAUGAUUAUUGGGCUUAAAGCGUCCGUAGCCGGCUUAGCAAGUCUCCUGUUAAAUUCAGCGACCUAAUCGUUGAGCCGCGGGAGAUACUACUAGGCUAGGAGGCGGGAGAGGUCGACGGUACUUCUGGGGUAGGGGUGAAAUCCUAUAAUCCCGGGAGGACCACCAGUGGCGAAGGCUGUCGACUAGAACGCGCCCGACGGUGAAGGGCGAA